Molecule: transfer-messenger RNA, 386 nt
Filed under: Helicobacter pylori
Lineage: Bacteria; Pseudomonadati; Campylobacterota; Epsilonproteobacteria; Campylobacterales; Helicobacteraceae
Also listed under: 1 other name
Rfam family: transfer-messenger RNA
About the family: Bacterial tmRNA, also known as 10Sa RNA or SsrA, is named for its dual tRNA and mRNA-like properties.
Source: RNAcentral
GGGGCUGACUUGGAUUUCGACAGAUUUCUUGUCGCACAGAUAGCAUGCCAAGUGCUACUUGUAAAACAGCAACAAAAAUAACUGUAAACAACACAGAUUACGCUCCAGCUUACGCUAAAGCUGCGUGAGUUAAUCUCCUUUUGGAGCUAGACUGAUUAGAAUUUCUAGCGUUUUAAUCACUCCAUAACCUUAAGCUAGACGCUUUUAAAAGGUGGUUCGCCUUUUAAACUAAGAAACAAGAACUCUUGAAACUAUCUCAAGGUUUUAGAAAGUUGGACCAGAGCUAGUUUUAAGGCUAAAAAACCAACCAAUUUUCUAAGCAUUGUAGAAGUUUGUGUUUAGGACAAGAUUUUUGGACUGGGGUUCGAUUCCCCACAGCUCCACCA